AUUUACUUUGGGCAUGACAAAUAAAGAAAAAUAGAAACAGUUUGGCACAACUGGGGAAGAAAACCACUGACAGACUCCUCUUCGUGCACUAACAGUUGCACAGGCAUCAGAUUUCGAUCACUCAGAGGUUCUACGCAAAGGAAAGGCAUUGGUUUGAUCGUUUGUGGCACCCGCUCGGCAUUGAGAGUACGAUCCAGGUUCCAGUUCUACACCCCGUGGCUGAUACGCGAGGGUGACAUCUUUCAGUCAUUCAGGGUGAGCUACUUGGUCAUCCGUGGCCCCUGAAGGACCUCCUCUAUUUAUUUCUGUUUUUGUAUUCGACAGACAAUAUGUAGUCUUCAGGUAUUUUCAGACUUAUAUUCCGUACUAUGUUAGCGCUCUUGUACCCUUUGACCAGAUUUUGGGGUUGUCAUGACAUUUCUAGUUAUGAUAAGUAUUUAAGACUUGAUAAUUUAUUUUUA
Lycium barbarum (goji berry) is the source of this 461-nucleotide long non-coding RNA. RefSeq lists it as uncharacterized. The record is from RefSeq and is a predicted model, not a curated record. The transcript is spliced from 3 exons. NCBI's taxonomy places the organism in Eukaryota, Viridiplantae, Streptophyta, Magnoliopsida, Solanales, Solanaceae.